AAUUCGAUUAGUUUGAUCAUGGCUCAGAACGAACGCUGGCGGCAUGCCUAACACAUGCAAGUCGAACGAGACCUUCGGGUCUAGUGGCGCACGGGUGCGUAACGCGUGGGAAUCUGCCCUUGGGUACGGAAUAACAGUGAGAAAUUACUGCUAAUACCGUAUGAUGUCUUCGGACCAAAGAUUUAUCGCCCAGGGAUGAGCCCGCGUUGGAUUAGCUAGUUGGUGGGGUAAAGGCCUACCAAGGCGACGAUCCAUAGCUGGUCUGAGAGGAUGAUCAGCCACACUGGGACUGAGACACGGCCCAGACUCCUACGGGAGGCAGCAGUGGGGAAUAUUGGACAAUGGGCGAAAGCCUGAUCCAGCAAUGCCGCGUGAGUGAAGAAGGCCUUCGGGUUGUAAAGCUCUUUUACCCGGGAAGAUAAUGACUGUACCGGGAGAAUAAGCCCCGGCUAACUCCGUGCCAGCAGCCGCGGUAAUACGGAGGGGGCUAGCGUUGUUCGGAAUUACUGGGCGUAAAGCGUACGUAGGCGGCUUUUUAAGUCAGAGGUGAAAUCCCGGUGCUCAACACCGGAACUGCCUUUGAGACUGGAUCGCUUGAUCACGGGAGAGGUUAGUGGAAUUCCGAGUGUAGAGGUGAAAUUCGUAGAUAUUCGGAAGAACACCAGUGGCGAAGGCGGCUAACUGGACCGUUGAUGACGCUGAGG
This 704-nucleotide ribosomal RNA is filed under the name uncultured bacterium. Its description in RNAcentral is "bacterial SSU rRNA". It matches the Rfam family "Bacterial small subunit ribosomal RNA", at positions 1 to 751 of the family's 1533-position model. The record is from RNAcentral.